ACUCAAAGGAAUUGACGGGGGCCCGCACAAGCGGCGGAGCAUGUUGCUUAAUUCGAGGCAACGCGAAGAACCUUACCUGGGUUUGACAUGCCAGAAAAUCCUUCAGAGAUGGAGGGUACCUUCGGGUGUCUGGUGCAGGUGGUGCAUGGCUGUCGUCAGCUCGUGUCGUGAGAUGUUGGGUUAAGUCCCGCAACGAGCGCAACCCUUGUCCCAUGUUGCCAGCGGGUAAUGCCGGGGACUCAUGGGAGACUGCCGGGGUGAACUCGGAGGAAGGUGGGGAUGAGGUCAAGUCAUCAUGCCCCUUAUGUCCAGGGCUGCAAACAUGCUACAAUGGCCGGUACAGUGGGUUGCGAGACCGUGAGGUGGAGCGAAUCCCUAAAAGCCGGUCUCAGUUCGGAUCGGGGUCUGCAACUCGACCCCGUGAAGGUGGAGUCGCUAGUAAUCGCGGAUCAGCAACGUCGCGGUGAAUACGUUCCCGGGCCUUGUACACACCGCCCGU
RNAcentral lists this ribosomal RNA (499 nucleotides) under uncultured bacterium. RNAcentral describes it as "partial 16S ribosomal RNA". It matches the Rfam family "Bacterial small subunit ribosomal RNA", at positions 899 to 1397 of the family's 1533-position model. The record is from RNAcentral.